This 72-nucleotide transfer RNA is filed under the name Candidatus Iainarchaeum sp. RNAcentral's name for it is "tRNA-Val". It matches the Rfam family "tRNA". From Rfam's summary of the family: Transfer RNA (tRNA) molecules are approximately 80 nucleotides in length. Their secondary structure includes four short double-helical elements and three loops (D, anti-codon, and T loops). Lineage: Archaea; Nanobdellati; Candidatus Iainarchaeota; Candidatus Iainarchaeia; Candidatus Iainarchaeales; Candidatus Iainarchaeaceae. The record is from RNAcentral.
GGGCCCGUGGUCUAGUGGUAUGACGUCGCUCUCACACAGCGGAGAUAGGCGGUCCGAUUCCGCCCGGGCCCA